AUGGCCCAGCUCGACCCCUCCGAUCCCAAGGAGGUGGAACACUUCAUGGGGAAAUACUUCGUCAGUGUGCCAUGCCGGACGAGCUGGCUCUUCCAGGCCAGCAUUCUUGCGGCCUCCAUCAAGGGGGAGGAGGAAGAGGAGGGGAAGGGGGAGGACAUGGCCGGAGAUAUGGCUGACGAGGUCUUUGCCAAACAGCUGCAUAAGGUUGCCAAGAAGAAAAGGACAGUCAUGGAAAACAGAGGGAAUGAGAAGAAUGCGUGGGGGCUGAAGAAGACCAUGGAGGUUCAGAGUGAUGAGGACGACUUCGUGGCUGACGGAGGAGGACAACUUUGGGUGUGCAAGAAGAACGACGGCAAGAGGAGGUUUUGCCGCCGGCCGGUGAGCCAGCCCGAUUCCCUUUGCGUGUAUCACUUGGAUCCAAAGUCUGUGCCGCCGGUGGCUUCCACAGCAGCCUCCAAACCCUCCAGCAGCGCCAAGCCACGUAAGAGGAGGCGUGUUGAUGCUGGUGAGGGGUACUUAUACUAUGCUGGCUUCGGCCCGUCCCUCAGCAAGAGGCAGAGAUCAAGCAGCAAUGUGCUGGAACCUUUACCUGCUGAAGAAAAGGAGGAGGCACUGCCUGAAGAGCAUACUGCAGGUCCAGCCCAAACUGUUGAUGCAGACCAUCAAGCGACAUCAGCACAUGUUGACGAGCCUAGGUGUGAUGAGAUGGCCGGGAUUGCAGGCGGCGACGAGGAGAGCAGCGACGACGCGCUUGGCUGCAACGAUGAACCCCGGGUUGUUGGCGUCAACGGCAACAUCAAGAGGAAGAGCCCGUUUAAGAAGAGGUGGAGGAAGCCUGUGAAAGCUCGCUCACUCAAGUCAUUGAUGUGUUAG
This 873-nucleotide ribosomal RNA is filed under the name Triticum aestivum (bread wheat). Its description in RNAcentral is "partial small subunit ribosomal RNA". Lineage: Eukaryota; Viridiplantae; Streptophyta; Magnoliopsida; Poales; Poaceae. The record is from RNAcentral.